This 520-nucleotide ribosomal RNA is filed under the name uncultured Glomus. RNAcentral describes it as "SSU rRNA". It matches the Rfam family "Eukaryotic small subunit ribosomal RNA", at positions 569 to 1091 of the family's 1831-position model. The record is from RNAcentral. Lineage: Eukaryota; Fungi; Glomeromycota; Glomeromycetes; Glomerales; Glomeraceae.
AGCAGCCGCGGUAAUUCCAGCUCCAAUAGCGUAUAUUAAAGUUGUUGCAGUUAAAAAGCUCGUAGUUGAAUUUCGGGACCAAUAUGUCGGUCGUGCUUCGGUACGUACUUGCAUUAUUGGUUUCUCCCUUCUGACGAACCAUGAUGUCAUUAAUUUGGUGUCUUGGGGAAUCAGGACUGUUACUUUGAAAAAAUUAGAGUGUUUAAAGCAGGCUCACGCUUGAAUACAUUAGCAUGGAAUAAUGAAAUAGGACGUUUGAUUCUAUUUUGUUGGUUUCUAGGAUCGACGUAAUGAUUAAUAGGGAUAGUUGGGGGCAUUAGUAUUCAAUUGUCAGAGGUGAAAUUCUUGGAUUUAUUGAAGACUAACUACUGCGAAAGCACUUGCCAAGGAUGUUUUCAUUAAUCAAGAACGAAAGUUAGGGGAUCGAAGACGAUCAGAUACCGUCGUAGUCUUAACCAUAAACUAUGCCGACUAGGGAUCGGAUGAUGUUAAUUUUUUAAUGACUCAUUCGGCGCCUUAC